UGAAUCCGCGCGGGAGAGUCCCCAGCAGCUGCGCUGGGGCGCCGAAGGAGCAAGUCCCUCCCUUGAAUCUCUCAGGCCCCGUUACCGCGCGGGCGAG
RNAcentral lists this non-coding RNA (97 nucleotides) under Streptomyces sp. Its description in RNAcentral is "Glycine sequence". It matches the Rfam family "Glycine riboswitch aptamer". From Rfam's summary of the family: This family represents the bacterial glycine riboswitch. Glycine riboswitches usually consist of two metabolite-binding aptamers domains with similar structures in tandem. RNAcentral also lists the same sequence under 1 other name. Lineage: Bacteria; Bacillati; Actinomycetota; Actinomycetes; Kitasatosporales; Streptomycetaceae. The record is from RNAcentral.